GCCAGUAAAUCAGUCUUGUUCCAGCAUUAAGCCUUGGCUCAUGUUUGGGGGAAGGGAUACCUACACUCUGGGGAUUGCUAUAAUCACUUACUCCCCAGAGGAAGCUCUUGCAAUAGCUUGAUUUGUUCCUGUUCCUGCUCUCUGGGGAAAGAGAGGUUCACCCACUGGAAGCUGGAUCCUGGCCUUGGGUCCAGGGUGGGUGGAAACAUCAGAGACC
Pelobates cultripes (western spadefoot toad) is the source of this 217-nucleotide non-coding RNA. The record is from the annotation of a GenBank genome assembly. NCBI's taxonomy places the organism in Eukaryota, Metazoa, Chordata, Amphibia, Anura, Pelobatidae.